GAUGAACGCUGGCGGCGUGCCUAAUACAUGCAAGUCGAGCGAACAGACGAGGAGCUUGCUCCUCUGACGUUAGCGGCGGACGGGUGAGUAACACGUGGAUAACCUACCUAUAAGACUGGGAUAACUUCGGGAAACCGGAGCUAAUACCGGAUAAUAUAUUGAACCGCAUGGUUCAAUAGUGAAAGACGGUUUUGCUGUCACUUAUAGAUGGCUCCGCGCCGCAUUAGCUAGUUGGUAAGGUAACGGCUUACCAAGGCAACGAUGCGUAGCCGACCUGAGAGGGUGAUCGGCCACACUGGAACUGAGACCCGGUCCAGACUCCUACGGGAGGCAGCAGUAGGGAAUCUUCCGCAAUGGGCGAAAGCCUGACGGAGCAAAGCCGCGUGAGUGAUGAAGGUCUUCGGAUCGUAAAACUCUGUUAUUAGGGAAGAACAAAUGUGUAAGUAACUAUGCACGUCUUGACGGUACCUAAUCAGAAAGCCACGGCUAACUACGUG
RNAcentral lists this ribosomal RNA (497 nucleotides) under uncultured bacterium. RNAcentral's name for it is "partial 16S ribosomal RNA". It matches the Rfam family "Bacterial small subunit ribosomal RNA", at positions 28 to 507 of the family's 1533-position model. The record is from RNAcentral.